UAAGACAUGCAAGUCGAACGGACUUAACCAUUAGUUUACUAUUGGAGCGGUUAGUGGCGGACUGGUGAGUAACACGUAAGCAACCUGCCUAUCAGAGGGGAACAACAGUUAGAAAUGACUGCUAAUACCGCAUAUGCCUUAAUUACCACAUGGUAAUAGAGGGAAAGGAGCAAUCCGCUGAUAGAUGGGCUUGCGUCUGAUUAGAUAGUUGGUAAGGUAACGGCUUACCAAGUCGACGAUCAGUAGCCGGACUGAGAGGUUGAACGGCCACAUUGGGACUGAGAUACGGCCCAGACUCCUACGGGAGGCAGCAGUCGGGAAUAUUGCGCAAUGGAGGAAACUCUGACGCAGUGACGCCGCGUGCAGGAAGAAGGCUUUCGGAUUGUAAACUGCUUUAGACAGGGAAGAAACAAGACAGUACCUGUAGAAUAAGCUCCGGCUAACUACGUGCCAGCAGCCGCGGUAAUACGUAGGGAGCAAGCGUUAUCCGGAUUUAUUGGGUGUAAAGGGUGCGUAGACGGGAAUGCAAGUUGGUUGUGAAAUCCCUCGGCUCAACCGAGGAAUUGCAACCAAAACUAUAUUUCUUGAGUGCUGGAGAGGAAAGUGGAAUUCCUAGUGUAGCGGUGAAAUGCGUAGAUAUUAGGAGGAACACCAGUGGCGAAGGCGACUUUCUGGACAGUAACUGACGUUGAGGCACGAAAGUGUGGGGAGCAAACAGGAUUAGAUACCCUGGUAGUCCACACCGUAAACGAUGGAUACUAGGUGUAGGGGAUGAAUAAUCUUCUGUGCCGUCGCAAACGCAGUAAGUAUCCCACCUGGGGAGUACGGCCGCAAGGUUGAAACUCAAAGGAAUUGACGGGGGCCCGCACAAGCAGUGGAGUAUGUGGUUUAAUUCGACGCAACGCGAAGAACCUUACCAGGGCUUGACAUAUACAUGAAAAUCUAAGAGAUUAGAUCCCUCUUCGGAGCAUGUAUACAGGUGGUGCAUGGUUGUCGUCAGCUCGUGUCGUGAGAUGUUGGGUUAAGUCCCGCAACGAGCGCAACCCCUGUUCUUAGUUGCCAGCAUGUAAAGAUGGGAACUCUAAGAAGACUGCCGGUGAUAAAUCGGAGGAAGGUGGGGACGACGUCAAAUCAUCAUGCCCUUUAUGUCCUGGGCUACACACGUACUACAAUGGCUGUAACAAAGGGAAGCGAACCCGCGAGGGGAAGCAAAACCCAUAAAAGCAGUCUCAGUUCGGAUUGAAGGCUGAAAUUCGCCUUCAUGAAGCCGGAAUUGCUAGUAAUGGCAGGUCAGCAUACUGCCGUGAAUACGUUCCCGGGCCUUGUACACACCGCCCGUCACACCAUGAGAGUUGGGGAUACCCGAAGCCUGUGAGCUAACUGUAAAGAGGCAGCAGUCGAAGGUAGAAUCAAUGAUUGGGGUGAAGU
This 1428-nucleotide ribosomal RNA is filed under the name uncultured organism. RNAcentral's name for it is "16S ribosomal RNA". It matches the Rfam family "Bacterial small subunit ribosomal RNA". The record is from RNAcentral.